UGCAGCCCCGUCAAAUUCGGUCUCUGCCUCCUCCGUGGCGGGGACCGGCCAACCGGCUGCCACAGCAAGUUCGGUGGUCCACGAGCCCCACGUCCCCCUUCCUGUGGGAUGCUGGGGGGGUGAGAAUGUCACGGACACGU
Tyto alba (common barn owl) is the source of this 140-nucleotide small nucleolar RNA. RefSeq annotates it as small nucleolar RNA SNORA5. The transcript has a single exon. NCBI's taxonomy places the organism in Eukaryota, Metazoa, Chordata, Aves, Strigiformes, Tytonidae. The record is from RefSeq and is a predicted model, not a curated record.